CAGUCGCCACGGGAACACGGAGGGGGCAAGUGUUAAUCGGAAUUACUGGGCGUAAAGCGCACGCAGGCGGUUUGUUAAGUCGGAUGUGAAAUCCCCGAGCUUAACUUAGGAAUUGCAUUCGAUACUGGGAAGCUAGAGUAUGGGAGAGGAUGGUAGAAUUCCAGGUGUAGCGGUGAAAUGCGUAGAGAUCUGGAGGAAUACCGAUGGCGAAGGCAGCCAUCUGGCCUAAUACUGACGCUGAGGUACGAAAGCAUGGGGAGCAAACAGGAUUAGAUACCCCCGUAGUCCCUGUCUCUUAUAC
This 301-nucleotide ribosomal RNA is filed under the name uncultured bacterium. RNAcentral describes it as "partial 16S ribosomal RNA". It matches the Rfam family "Bacterial small subunit ribosomal RNA", at positions 509 to 807 of the family's 1533-position model. The record is from RNAcentral.